CGUCGUCAGUCGCUGCACGGACGGACUUUGGAUCGGUCGUAAAGGUGUAAACCCUUCUGCUUCUGUUAGCCCGAAAGCGCGCGUGUUUUCGUUACUUCGCCCUUCAAGUACACUAGCUACCGGUAGAACUAUAUCGUCGCCCAUCAUUCGCAAGGGUUUGUGGUAUUGUGUGUAUUUUGCUGAAAUCGCUUGCCCAUUAUCACGUAGUGUCGCUUCGCUGCGGACGGUCCAUUUCACGGUGGUUGCAAUUUCACUGGAUCAGCAAUUUUCGAGAGACGAAUUCAAGCGGCCUCCAGAACAUUCCAUCGGUUUCGCGCGCGCCCGAGUUUCGUUCUACUCUCGAUCACUUCACGGUUGCAUUCUUUGGAAAAAUGGAAAGAAACUGAAUCCAUCGGGAUCGAAUUUCUAGGUUGCAAGCACUGUUUACAAAACAAAGCGCUAAGAAAUGUGCUGUGGAAGCAGUCGAGUCUCAACUUCGUCGUAAACAUAGUGUGAAAGUGAGCUGUUGGUCUGCAGCAGAGUGUUAUCUCUUAUCCGAUGAGAAUUCAGCGGUUGGAUGCAGAUUAUAUACAAUCUGAAGUGAGGGACUAAUAGGGUGUACCAGAAGAAAAAAACAAUAAUGGUUCGAUAAGUCAUGGUGCUCAAUCCUAGAAUUGACUACUGUUCUAUGCUAUAUCUGCAGUGAAGUAUCCUCGGUUUUGUGGGAGGUACAACUUAUACUUCGAUACCGAGUCAAUUGAUUAAUGGGCAGUUUAUCGCGAAUUGGAAAAUGUCAUCGAGGCCAAGUUCAAUGCGAGGAAUUAAUUACAGCCACUAAACAAGAUUCCGCUAAGCGGCAAUCAGGUGUGUGUAGUCGAUGCAUCGGUCGGCUGGUGGAUUCCACUUGGUUUGCGGUUAGUGGCUUCGAGUGUUGAAGGAAAACGCCGUUGAAUAAUGGAGGUCGUCAGUUGAAGUGAUUAAAGUUAUGGUUCGAAUACAGUAUACUGCAGUAUGUUCUAAUACGUAAAAAAGUGUCAUACCGUGAUAAGUUGAAAGAAGUUGCCGCUCCGUGCUAACAACAAGUGUGAAUAUCAAGUGGAUGUGAUAUUGCCGGAACCUCCGGCGUCCUUCAGCAUGAUGAACGGGAAGCCAACCACAGAGAUGAGCCUGCUAACGGUUCCAACGAAGAUCAUCCCCACAAAACAGCCCCUCUCCAGUCGAGAUGCCGUCGAAACGGACGACGAGGAAGAUGGGCUGGGGUACACCCACACAUUGAUGUAUGGUCGCUAUACCAAAGACCUAGGAGAAUACGCCAAAGAUGAAGCGCGAAGACUCAGGCUUCUUGAACGAAGAAGAAAAAAAGACGAUAAAGCAAGAAACAAGGAGCUGUUGGGAGUGCGGGAUAACAAAUUUUUCAAAGCCUCCUCAUGGCUGUGGCGGAAUACUUUCGCGCGGCUUGGCGAGGACUGGGUGUUCCUGGCCCUGCUCGGCAUCAUCAUGGCCCUACUGUCCUACGUGAUGGAUAAAGGCAUCUCGAUGUGCACAAAUUCACGAGUAUGGUUGUAUCGAGAUCUCACAAAUCAUCCCGUGGCACAGUACCUAGCGUGGGUGUCCUUGCCCGUGUGCCUGAUCCUGUUCUCGGCCGGUUUCGUUCACUUGGUCGCACCGCAGAGCAUAGGUUCCGGCAUUCCGGAGAUGAAAACCAUCCUGCGGGGGGUGGCCCUGAAAGAGUAUCUCACCUUCAAGACGCUGGUCGCCAAAGUGAUAGGCCUGACGGCGACCCUGGGAUCCGGAAUGCCCCUUGGCAAGGAAGGUCCCUUUGUACAUAUAGCUAGUAUAGUAUCGCAGUUGUUAAGUAAAAUCAUCACGUCAUUCCAAUCGAUCUACGAGAAUGAAUCCCGCAACACGGAGAUGCUGGCCGCGGCAUGUGCUGUCGGUGUGGGUGCCUGCUUUGCUGCACCAGUUGGUGGGGUCCUUUUCAGCAUCGAGGUCACAACGACAUAUUUUGCCGUGCGAAAUUACUGGCGGGGCUUCUUUGCGGCCGUAUGUGGAGCGACCGUGUUCCGACUGUUGGCCGUGUGGUUUCAGAAGGCGGACACCGUGACGGCCCUGUUUGCCACCAACUUUACUGCCGACUUCCCAUUUGAUCCGCAGGAGCUGUUCGUGUUCGCGCUGAUUGGCCUCGUUAGCGGCCUGGGAGGUGCAUUGUAUGUGUGGGUCCACCGGAAGUAUGUCCUGUUUAUGCGAUCUAACAAGCGGAUGAACAAAUUCCUACAGAAAAACCGAUUCCUGUACCCUGGCAUUGUGUCACUGAUAGUGGCCACCCUUUCAUUCCCUCUCGGUUUCGGUCAGUUCAUUGCCGGCGAAUUGAGCACACACGAGCAGGUCCACCAGCUCUUCUCCAACUUCACCUGGAGCAACACUGUGCACACCGUUGAGCAAGCAGCCAUCGUGUCCAAUUGGAAAGCGGGCAGUGGCGAUGUACUAAUCAAUCUCAUCGUUUAUCUGUUGUUUACGUUCUUCUUUUCUAUUGUUGCUUCGACCAUUCCGGUUCCGUCUGGUAUCUUUAUUCCCGUGUUUAAAAUUGGCGCCGCCUUCGGAAGGAUAAUUGGUGAAGCAAUGCACAUGUGGUUCCCAAUGGGAGUUCGUUAUGGUGGUAAGUUAGCCCCCAUUAUCCCGGGUGGCUAUUCCGUGGUGGGAGCCGCUGCCUUCUCUGGAGCCGUUACACACACUGUAUCAGUGGGCGUGAUCGUGUUCGAAAUGACAGGCCAAAUUACUCACAUAGUGCCGGUGAUGAUUGCUUCACUGGUUUCGAAUGCAGUAGCUGCACUCCUCCAACCGUCCAUGUACGAUAGUAUUAUUCUGAUCAAGAAGCUACCUUAUCUGCCCGAUUUGCUGCCAAGCGGAUCAGGAAUGUACAAUAUCUACGUCGAGGACUUUAUGGUUCGUGAUGUAAAAUUCAUUUGGAAGGGAAUCUCGUAUCAGAAGCUCAAAGAAAUUCUCAAGGCGAACAAAGGCUUGAGAAGUUUACCUAUCGUGGACAGUCCAGAGAGCCCUGUAUUGCUCGGUAGCGUUCAACGAUACGAGCUGAUCAAAAUGAUCGAUAAACACAUUGGACGGGAGAAACGCUUAGAAGUGGCAGCCAAGUGGAUGAAGGAAGCCGAGGAGAAGGCACGUGAAGAACAAGAACGACUCAGACGUGAAGCUGAGGAACUGCAGAAAACUCGUCGUCCAUCGAGAUUUGAAGUUAGCCCCGCUCCAGAUAUUCUCAAGCUCCGUGAACGAGCCAACAACGAAAUGUUACCACCUCAAGCAAAGAAAGAAACUUCUUCCGGAUUCAGUCCCGUGUUCGGAUCGCAACCCAAAAAGUCCAUUCUCAAGAAGACUAACUCAUUCACAUUGAAGGGAUUCACGCCGCUCUCACCGCACAGCCCGACCCAUACACCGUACACGACCAUCACCGGAGGCACCGAGAGUCGAAUUAGGUCUGCAUUCGACAUCAUCUUCCGCAAGUCGGCCACACUCCAGGACGUUACUCCCGAUCCAGAGAUCGGUUCCAUCGGUACACCUAGCAUUUCUGGUACCGAAGGAAUACCACUGACGCCCGGAAUUUCCAAGAAGGUUCAACUGCCACGAGAACGUGUUAUAGACAUGUCGGCUGAAGACCAGAAAGCCUGGGAACUGGAAGAAAUGGCCAAGCCAAUUGACGUGGAAAAUCUACACAUUGACCCUGCGCCAUUCCAGCUAGUGGAACGUACUUCCAUUCUGAAGGUGCACUCGCUGUUCUCGAUGGUGGGCAUCAACCAUGCUUAUGUGACGAACGUUGGUAAGCUGGUAGGCGUGGUGGCCCUCAAAGAGCUACGACAAGCCAUCGAGAAUGUCAACAGCGGGACGCUGACGCCGGAAUCGGUGAAACAGAAACAGGAGGAGGAAGCAAAAGCGAAGGCCCAAAAAGAAGCGGAAAACAACAACUCUUCCCCGGAGGAACCCCUGCUGCCCAAGGCAGACGCCUACAGUGAUAAGAAAGUAAAUAGCACUAUAACAUCUAUGGAUUCGGCACUGUCCUACUCGGACAACUGCUCCGAUAUCGAAGUAGAUCACAUUAGGUUCACAAAUGAUAAGAAUAGCACUUCUACCAUACACAGUAGCGACAACAGUAACGACGGCAACUGCAACAGCAAUCAACAGUCGUAACAAAAGAAUAACCAUCUCUAACUUUAAAACUAGAAUAACGUCCAAUAAUGGGGGAAAAUGGAAGGCGUUUGUCUCAGAAAAAAAACAACUAAACUCGUUGGUAUCUCUGAAAUUCUGAUUUGCUGUCAUAUUGACACGUACACACAAACACAAACGGUGUAGUGCACUCGAAAUUACUCAAUCACCCGAACUACACUUCCACAUUCGACUUAACGGUCUUCGCACACUAAUUGCACAACGAGAGGAUAUUUAAGUUUACAUCACCUUUUAAGGCAAGAAGCCUUCGGAUCAUUGGAUAAGAUAUUCAAGGACUAGCGAACCAGCGGCAUGCCAUCAUCACCCUGACCAUGCGACGUAGGAACGCAUAACGUACGAUUUGUUUUAGUCAAGACAUCCCGUGUACGCCCAUCCAAGAUGACCACGGAUGAUGCAGAUGAUGCGAUACUUCCGAGAAAGUUGUGAUUCUAAUUUUAGUCCCAUUCAGUUCUUCCCGUACCACCUCAUCGUCUAGGACCUAAGGCCGCGUGGUUACCUUGUAACGACUCGUAACGAGCAUGAGGCGCGACACGUCGUGCGAUAAACUAUUAAAUUAUUCUUGAAACAAGACGAGGUAGCUAAGCACAUUUACCUACAAAGCUGUGAAGAAGAAAGUAUCAAAACGAAAGUGCCUAGCAGAAACAAAAGUCACUUUGACCAUUGAGAAAAAAAAACGCUUCGCCAGAUUUUAAAUUUAAGCCAAACCAUGCCAAGUCCCACAUCGAUAGGAAAUUAUACAUUUAUUUUAAUUAUAGAUAAAAAAAAAUGUGAAUGCUUCGAGUUGAGAAAAAAAUAUAAAACGAAAUGUCUAGAUCAAUUACUAGAGGUGGGUUGUCCAAGGGAGGCCCACAACCAUACACUGUAAAUAGGUGCAUCUGCUUAAACGGUAAGGAUCACUGUUGAAUAAAAGACAUUUUAUCUUUAUUGUUAACUGUAAGUCGAGCGAAGCAAGUGUGAUUCAGUUGAUGACAUGUGUUUGCAAGCAUAACACACAUGAAAGUCAAAGACUCGGAUAAAAUGCAACCCCAAAAAUGAUGAUUUAGUUUUAAAUAACUGUUUUUAAAUGAACGCCAUGGAAAACACAGCAUUAUUAUCCUCAACUGACUGUUUUAGAUAAAUUGUUACAAUAAAAUCGUGGCAUACGACCCACUAUGGGAAAUAAAGUCAUUAGGGAAAUUUUAAA
RNA transcript from Aedes aegypti (yellow fever mosquito), 5392 nucleotides. It is a transcript of the gene named chloride channel protein 2, with no coding region annotated. The transcript is spliced from 12 exons. Lineage: Eukaryota; Metazoa; Arthropoda; Insecta; Diptera; Culicidae. The record is from RefSeq and is a predicted model, not a curated record.